Molecule: long non-coding RNA, 4332 nt
Organism: Pangasianodon hypophthalmus (striped catfish)
Lineage: Eukaryota; Metazoa; Chordata; Actinopteri; Siluriformes; Pangasiidae
Exons: 2
Source: RefSeq, a predicted model, not a curated record
UAGUGCACUGGAAAAACUAAUUCGUAGAUCAACAUAUUUAAAUUCAAGGCAGAAUUUACGCUUUAGUAAAAUGUGUAGCUUAUACGUAUUAAUAUUAGAUUAAGUUUGUAAAUGUACGCAUUUCUGUUUAACGAGUUUAACAUAAACUUGCCAUUAUUUACCCUUUAACUUUUUGCUGAACUUACAUAUUUUACAAAUUCUGCCUUUAAUUUAAAUACAUCGAUCCAUGAAUUCAUUUUUUUCAGUGUGUGCUUUUGGCUGUGUCUUUCUACACACUACUCCCUUUUCUAACAAUCCCUUGGCUAAAAAAAAAUGACUGGAGUUAAUUAGUUGCCGAUGUCUGACCUUGGCUCCAACAUGUAUGGCAUAACUCCAAAAAAAACAUGGCGUCUUUCAUCUAGGACAUCAUCCCUGAUAAUUCAACAGAAGUGGGUUAAAGCAACAGUUAGAAAUCCCCUGAUUUAAAAAAAGUGCUCUUGUCAAACCCGUCACUGUUCUCCAUAUUUAGAUAAUUCACUAGGCUACUGUCAAGUUUUGUUUAGAUUCAGCGGAGGUUUGCCGUAUCUCGAAUACUAUUGGCUGUUGUGUAAAUGAGUCAGCACUUCAACAUGCUAUCACUCUGACUUCUUGCCUCAAAAGCUAUUACAUCAACAUAUGAAAUGAAUUUCAUGGGAACUUUAAGUUAAAAGAGCUCAUCUACACCCUUGAAACUUUGGAACCCCAUGGAAUGAACAUCAUGUUUUGACAACUAUUAAAUCAUUAUGUAGGAAGGAUAUUUGUCUGAAACAUCCUGUUUCUCCGGAAAAUUUCAACAUAAUGUGUCUUAGUAAAGUGUUGGUCCACCACGAGCCACCAGAACAGCCUUAACGCUGCCUGGUAUAGAGUUCUGGAACUGUACUGGAUCCAUGAACACCAUUCUUCCAAACCAUAGUCCCUCAGUUGGUGUUCUGAUGAUGAUGAUGAUAGACCUGUGUAACAUCACUCCAAAAUUUCACUGGGGUGAGAUCUGUCGACUGUGUCGGCCACAGUGCGUGAGUUACAUCAUUUUCAUACUCAACAGACCAUUCAGCUAGUCCUCAUCAUCCUGGAAGAGUCCACUCCCAUCAGGAGAGGAAUAUUUCAUCAUAGGAUAAAGGUGAUUUGUGGUGAACCUUCUCUCUACUUACUUACUGUCCACUUUAUUACAUAUGCCUUACUUUGUUCAUUCACUUUGUGGGUGAACAGUUAGAAGUUAACUUUCCACACAUGCUUUAUUGUUAAUUAUUGUCUAACCCAUCAUCGGUGUCACUUUCUGACCACAAAUGAGAUAUUUUGCUCUUGGCUAGACCUUUUUUGGUUGGUGGCCUGUUUCUCGAUCCAUCAGCUUCACUGAGGUGUUUAAAAACCUUGACAACAUUGUUCCUCUUCAUACAAUUCACUUGUCACCUGAUAGUAUCACGUCUGUGUUACGACUCUGUUGAUAAUAGUUCAUCACCCAAAAUAUUAUGUUCUCAGCAGUGGCCCUUGUCCACUGGCAGACGGGAUACAGGAGGCUAACAAACUGCAUAGCAUAAAUGUAUAGACAGGUAGAUAGAUACUCGUCAUGCUUCUCAUCUCGUAGAUGGCUGACUAGCCGACCCGAGUCUCUGCUAUGACUCAACGUAUAGCUGUAUUGCUUUCUGGAGACCCUGGAGGCUGAUGUUUGCUGUGCCCACUAGGUCUAUGUUGGAUUUCUCAUUAAUAUGACAUUGAAUAUUGCUGGAGGAUGGUGAGUGAGAAAAGAAGCUCUCACUAACAGCAAAACCGAAACCAUUAUUGCCCCUCAUGUUUAUGGUGAAACACCAUUGUAACUGUGCUACCAAUGUCCCCCUGUGACAGACAACCAUUAACUUACAGCCUCUACCAACAAACCAGCACUAGAAUUAUUAAGCCCAAGACAAAUAUUUCAGGAUAAACAUAUUUAAUGUUUCAGGGUGGAGUUUUCCUUUAAAACUGGAAAGCAGUCUCAGGAUCAUUUUGCAGAAUUCUUGAACUUUCCAUGUAUGACUUUAACCCCCUGUGCUAUCUAGGAAUGCACUUUUACGUACAGAUCUCAGUGAUCUCACUUCAGGGCUCACUUCAUUGCAUUCCUCCACUGCCAUUUUGCAGGAUUCAUGGUAGAAUAACAGGUUAAGUUGACUCUAAGGAAGAAAGCGCACUUGUUGAUAGCAGUGGUGCAAAAAAAAAAAAAAAAACUCCAAACGUCACCGUCUGUUUUUUUUUCUUUUCUUUUUCUAGAUGUUUCACAUGAAAUCAGGUCUCAGUUUUUCUAAUUGCGACGCAUAUCAUGUAUUCGAGAGGAGCCUGCUGAACUGGGCAGGUGACGUCAGAAGUGGGCAGAUGUGCGCGCGACGCUCUUCCAGGCACGUGCGCUCGUUGACAACAUUUUAUACCAGGUGAUUUUUUUUUUUUUUUUUUUUUUUUUUUGUUUGCUUUUAUAGCCUUCUACAAGACAAUAACUAGAGAAUUUUCUCCACACGAAGAGCGCUGGUGAGCUUCGGCACCCGGAAGCCUGCUGAUUUUAUUUUGUCACAUGGCUCCGAGAUUUUCAAUAACAACAACAAAAAUGGCGACAUAUCACGUUGCGUUGCUCGAUGUGAGCUUGCUGCGUCAUUAAAAGAUAUUCCCGUAAACACAAGCGAGAAGCAGGAAAGAAAGCCAGAUAGGUUAGGUGAUAUUAGGUCAUUUUGGCAGCCACUGACGCCGUCUCGUGACAGCAAAAACCCCGACGAGCUGAUCGACUUGUUUACAAGAAGAGAUUUGCGCGGAGGGAGGGGCGCGAGUGGGCGGAGCUUUGCCGAGCGGCAAGGCGAGUGGACGAGCCGGAGAAGACGCGCCGCGGAGGGCGGAGCCUACAGGAUAAUAGCAAGCUGGACGUGAAAGAGGGCGGAGGGGUUUGUAUGAGGUAUCUGUUGGAGUGCUGUUUAACUGUUGACGCAUUAGUCUUAUUUUUUGUGAUACUUAAAGUCUCCGAAUAAUAAUAAUAAUAAAAAAAAAGACUUUGAGAGCUUGAGUCAUUAUAUGUAUCUUGGAAAUAUUUAAUUCAUUUAUUUAGUAAUCCAUGUCUAAUUAGUGGUCUGUAUUGACUAGAGAAUUGUCUUUACAACAUAGAUCCAUGAUCAUGAUAUAAUAAUAACAUAGUAACACAACACAACAACCCUGAUUAAAUAAUAGCUUGAUAAUAUUUUUUCUUUCAAUGUUUAUUCUGAGUGUGUGUAUCAUGUCACUGCUUUAUUUAUGUUGUGCUUCUUAUGUUCUGUUUGCUGCUUAACAAUGAAUAAUGCCCAUGGCUCAUAUUAGCUUUGGGUAGCUGAGACAGAAAACACCAUGUUAAAUAACCACCUAUGAAUACAGCUUUGUUCUUGGGGAACAGUAAAAAGACAAAACCACUUCUCAUGCCUGGGGAUGUUCCUGUUAGAAAGUGUAUGUAAACAGGUAUGUGUGGAAACAAGACAGGGAGGUAGUAUAAUAGAGGGAAUUCACUUAUUAGUUUUAGUUAGCGUGAAAAGCAGUUGAUUUAUACUUCACCACUUUUCGUUUAAUUCUCGAAUCAAAAUGACCUGUGUAAUAUAAAUAUAAAGUGGAUUUGUACUGUUUCAUGUUAUGUACAGGUAAUGGAUCAAACACAUUAAGUUUCAUGUUGAAAUUUUUUUUCUAGUAUGGUAAAUAAACUUUAAAUAAACAAAAAAUUAAAAUGGGAAAUUCUGACUUAAACAGAACACAAGGAUUAAAUACAUUCUGUAUGAAAUAUUCUACUUUUUAAAUGAAAUAAGCACAGUAAUUCUGCAUUUCUAAAAUGUAUACUUGGACUUUCUUCUUUUUCUCUUUUGAAUUUUUAAAUAUUGAAUUAGUUUACAUUCACUUUAAUCCUGUCUACAGAGGUAGUUUGUUAUUUCCCGCAGUCGUAUGUCUCCUGUGCGUAAGUAUGAUUUCUCAUGAUGUUUUCAGUAUGGCUGAAGGUAAGGUAUCUGAUGGAGAGGACGGACCGGACUUGGCUCUUCUUGAUGUGACAGGCUGCCCUUGUUCAGUUAUCACAGUGCUGAUGCUGUCCGUCUUAAAGGUACAGUACUGUGAUAACUGAAGGAUGGCAGCCAUCUUGACAUCUGGUUCUUGUGAAGAAGCCUUUCCUAUCUUAACAAGUUCUGAAUGGUUUGAUUGUUGCUAUUAGUUAUUAGAAUUAGUUAACCUAAACUAAAUCUGAAACGUAGUCAUUUCUAAUACUGCACACAUUCUUUUGUAUGUGGUUUCAGUUGAAUUCAAAAAUACCAUUCUGUAUUGCUAUGCAGAUGUAAAAUAAAAGGCUUCAUACUGUCA